This 269-nucleotide ribosomal RNA is filed under the name uncultured prokaryote. RNAcentral's name for it is "partial 16S ribosomal RNA". It matches the Rfam family "Bacterial small subunit ribosomal RNA", at positions 524 to 792 of the family's 1533-position model. The record is from RNAcentral.
UACGGAGGAUCCGAGCGUUAUCCGGAUUUAUUGGGUUUAAAGGGUGCGCAGGCGGGAGAUUAAGUCGGCGGUGAAAUUUUGCAGCUCAACUGUAAAAGUGCCUUCGAAACUGGUUUCCUUGAGUGUGGAUGAAGUAGGCGGAAUUUGUGGUGUAGCGGUGAAAUGCAUAGAUAUCACGAGGAACUCCGAUUGCGCAGGCAGCUUACUAAACCACUACUGACGCUCAUGCACGAAGGCGUGGGGAUCAAACAGGAUUAGAUACCCCGGUA